AGCUUUCUGAAUCCAUGUCAAGAUUUCGUUCGACACCAGCCCACCAGGGGUGAUGAGACUUCUAAGAUAAGUGAAAUA
This is a non-coding RNA of Schistosoma margrebowiei, 78 nucleotides long. The record is from Rfam. NCBI's taxonomy places the organism in Eukaryota, Metazoa, Platyhelminthes, Trematoda, Strigeidida, Schistosomatidae.